RNAcentral lists this ribosomal RNA (253 nucleotides) under uncultured bacterium. RNAcentral describes it as "partial 16S ribosomal RNA". It matches the Rfam family "Bacterial small subunit ribosomal RNA", at positions 524 to 776 of the family's 1533-position model. The record is from RNAcentral.
UACGAAGGGGGAUAGCGUUGUUCGGAAUUACUGGGCGUAAAGCGCACGAAGGCGGAUUAGUAAGUCAGGGGUGAAAUCCCGGGGCUCAACCUCGGAACUGCCUUUGAUACUGCUGAUCUCGAGUCCGGAAGAGGUGAGUGGAAUUCCUAGUGUAGAGGUGAAAUUCGUAGAUAUUAGGAAGAACACCAGUGGCGAAGGCGGCUCACUGGUCCGGUACUGACGCUGAGGUGCGAAAUCGUGGGGAGCAAACAGG